RNAcentral lists this ribosomal RNA (497 nucleotides) under uncultured bacterium. RNAcentral describes it as "partial 16S ribosomal RNA". It matches the Rfam family "Bacterial small subunit ribosomal RNA", at positions 28 to 507 of the family's 1533-position model. The record is from RNAcentral.
GAUGAACGCUGGCGGCGUGCCUAAUACAUGCAAGUCGAGCGAACAGACGAGGAGCUUGCUCCUCUGACGUUAGCGGCGGACGGGUGAGUAACACGUGGAUAACCUACCUAUAAGACUGGGAUAACUUCGGGAAACCGGAGCUAAUACCGGAUAAUAUAUUGAACCGCAUGGUUCAAUAGUGAAAGACGGUUUUGCUGUCACUUAUAGAUGGAUCCGCGCCGCAUUAGCUAGUUGGUAAGGUAACGGCGUACCAAGGCAACGAUGCGUAGCCGACCUGAGAGGGUGAUCGGCCACCCUGGAACUGAGACACGGUCCAGACUCCUACGGGAGGCAGCAGUAGGGAAUCUUCCGCAAUGGGCGAAAGCCUGACGGAGCAACGCCGCGUGAGUGAUGAAGGUCUUCGGAUCGUAAAACUCUGUUAUUAGGGAAGAACAAAUGUGUAAGUAACUAUGCACGUCUUGACGGUACCUAAUCAGAAAGCCACGGCUAACUACGUG